This 506-nucleotide ribosomal RNA is filed under the name uncultured bacterium. Its description in RNAcentral is "partial 16S ribosomal RNA". It matches the Rfam family "Bacterial small subunit ribosomal RNA", at positions 30 to 523 of the family's 1533-position model. The record is from RNAcentral.
AUUGAACGCUGGCGGCAUGCCUUACACAUGCAAGUCGAACGGCAGCAUGGAAGAGCUUGCUCUUCUGAUGGCGAGUGGCGAACGGGUGGGUAAAGCAUCGGAACGUACCGUGUAGUGGGGGAUAACGUAGCGAAAGUUACGCUAAUACCGCAUACGCACUGAGGUGGAAAGCAGGGGAUCGCAAGACCUUGCGCUAUACGAGCGGCCGAUGUCAGAUUAGCUAGUUGGUAGGGUAAAGGCCUACCAAGGCGACGAUCGGUAGCGGGUCUGGGAGGAUGAUCCGCACACAUGGGACGGAGACGCGGCCCAGACUCCUACGGGAGGCAGCAGUGGGGAAUUUUGGACAAUGGGCGAAAGCCUGUUCCAGCCAUGCCGCGUGAGUGAAGAAGGCCUUCGGGUUGUAAAGCUCUUUCGGCUGGGAAGAAAUCGCACAGGCUAAUACUCUGUGUGGAUGACGGUACCAGCACAAGAAGCACCGGCUAACUACGUGCCAGCAGCCGCCGUAA